Pseudopipra pipra is the source of this 350-nucleotide long non-coding RNA. RefSeq lists it as uncharacterized. The record is from RefSeq and is a predicted model, not a curated record. The transcript is spliced from 2 exons. Lineage: Eukaryota; Metazoa; Chordata; Aves; Passeriformes; Pipridae.
CAGAGCUCCUCACCUCGGACCCCAGGGAACCAGGAAUCAUGAACUCCUGAGUCCCUGACACCUGGACACACAGGACUGGGAGGAACCUGAGGAAUCACAGAAUCCCGGGAUCCCUGAGAGCGAUGGGCAGGUGGGACCGUUCCUGGUGCAGAAACAGGAGAGGAAGGACAGGAGAAGGAGGUGACAGGAGCUCAGACCUAUGCACUGCUGGAGAUGGGAAGAGAAAUCCAUCUGUCCUUACCUGAAUUGCUGUCCAGCCUCGGCUGCCCUCCUAACCUGCAACACAGGGAAGGGCACGGUCAGGAAACGGAUCAUUUGAUUUCCCAUAAAGUGAAGGAUCUACUCCCCCA